AUUGAACGCUGGCGGCAGGCCUAACACAUGCAAGUCGAGCGGAUGAAGGGAGCUUGCUCCUGGAUUCAGCGGCGGACGGGCGAGUAAUGCCUAGGAAUCUGCCUGGUAGAGGGGGAUAACGUCCGGAAACGGGCGCUAAUACCGCAUACGUCCUGAGGGAGAAAGUGGGGGAUCUUCGGACCUCACGCUAUCAGAUGAGCCUAGGUCGGAUUAGCUAGUUGGUGGGGUAAAGGCCUACCAAGGCGACGAUCCGUAACUGGUCUGAGAGGAUGAUCAGUCACACUGGAACUGAGACACGGUCCAGACUCCUACGGGAGGCAGCAGUGGGGAAUAUUGGACAAUGGGCGAAAGCCUGAUCCAGCCAUGCCGCGUGUGUGAAGAAGGUCUUCGGAUUGUAAAGCACUUUAAGUUGGGAGGAAGGGCAGUAAGUUAAUACCUUGCUGUUUUGACGUUACCAACAGAAUAAGCACCGGCUAACUUCGCG
This 484-nucleotide ribosomal RNA is filed under the name uncultured bacterium. Its description in RNAcentral is "partial 16S ribosomal RNA". It matches the Rfam family "Bacterial small subunit ribosomal RNA", at positions 30 to 507 of the family's 1533-position model. The record is from RNAcentral.